GUGAAUAUAGUUUAAUAAAAAUCCUAGCCUGUGAUUCUAGGGACGAGGACUAAUCACCCUCUAUUCACC
Molecule: transfer RNA, 69 nt
Filed under: Osteocephalus taurinus (Manaus slender-legged treefrog)
Lineage: Eukaryota; Metazoa; Chordata; Amphibia; Anura; Hylidae
Description: tRNA-His
Source: RNAcentral